Molecule: ribosomal RNA, 200 nt
Filed under: Hetaerina sp.
Lineage: Eukaryota; Metazoa; Arthropoda; Insecta; Odonata; Calopterygidae
Description: partial large subunit ribosomal RNA
Source: RNAcentral
CAAAGAUUAAUUUACUUAUUAAAUUGUAAGGUCUUUUAGAGAAUUUUCUUUAUCUUUAGUAUUUUAUUGAAAAGGUUAUUUUUGUAAUAGUUUAUUAGUACUGUAGGGUAAUGUUGAAAUAUUUUGAAAAAUUAUUUAACUAAAAGCAUACUUUAUGUAGUACCUUUUGUAUCAGGGAUGAUUAACUUUAUUUAAUUUAU